ACAAAUGUUGCCAAAAAUACUUGUAAACAAAUUAUUUCAAAGUUUCCUCUGAUUAUUUAUCAUUUAAAAAUCUCUAUGGGCCUAUGAGAUGUUUUGCUGUUCUAUUCUAUUAUUCAGAUUAUUAACGACAACGAGCAUUUGAAUGCUCAAUGCAUGUCGUCUCGGUAGUUUCUGAAUAUACAACGAAAAUUCGUAUAAACUAUAAUUAAAUUGAAGAUCUUUCCACUGACACAGGCUUACCAAAAAAAAAAAAAAAGUUAUUACCAUGAACAACUAAAACAUAUUAAGAAGAUACCAUUCCAAACUUUCGAACGAGAGAAAUAAAUUUUGAAAUUAAUUAAGCAUUUCAUGAAUGCAUCAUCAUAUCAGUUUCUUAUAAUCAUGUGUAUACAUAACUUAAAUAUCAACCCUAGUUCAAAUGUUUGAUACUAGAGGGAAAUGUAACCAAAAAAGAGUUUUGGAAAAAUACAAGAGAUAGAGAGAAAAAAAACAUAAGGUAAAGAUCUAAAUCAAAUUACGGUCUCGGUCGCGGUCACGGUCACGCCCGCAGACUAACAUGGCUAGACAACGGCCAAGGAUGUAAAACUUGGCUCGCUGUUUCUUCACCAUGUGGCUACACUUGGCCUUGAAGGUCUUCGACGGCUUGCAUGUCCUGCUCGUGCUGAUCUCUUCUCCCAUUACUUGAUGAUUCUAACAACAACAAUGGAGAGUUUCUAUGCCGAGAAAAUGGAGAGUUUUUGUUGUGGUUUCUGCUUCUGAAAUUUUGUAGUAGAAGUGUGGGAAGAGGGAGAAAGGGGAAGAGUUUAGACAAUAUAUGGAGAGAGCCAAGCCUAUGAAUUAGAAGGAGGGUCAUUGGCUUGGUACAAUAAAUGAUUGAUAUGUGACUUUAUUUUUGUUUUGUAAGAAUAAGUAAGACUAAUAUAUGUAAUAUAUACUAUACAUUAUAGAAGAUUAGAAGAUAAUAGUAUUAAUGUGUUUGUGUGGUUUUGUUUUGGUGAAGUACUGUUUUAGAUUUUUUUUUCAAGAGAUCUCUAGAUUGAGUUAAUUAAGCUGUAGAAUUUUUAAAAGAAAAAUGAGUGUAUAUUUGUUAUGUAGAAAUAUCAUAUGUAAUAAAUGAUUGUAAUAGGGUGGGUAUGUUUAUGAACUUAGUUACCUUAUAUGGGUAUUAAUUUCAGUAAGGUUUCUUUUAUAUUUCAAAGUUCAUGAUAAUGCUUAAUUAAUCUAAAUAAGUUAUAAGGCUUAGUUAUUUUAAACUACAUGAAUACUGUCUAAACAGAUAGAAAAAACUCAUAUAUGUUGGAAGAAAUCUGAUGAUUUUUUUUUUUAAUAAACAAUCAUAACAUAUAGAAUUAAUGAUUGGAAUAAGAUUGAUAUCCAAAACUAGANNNNNNNNNNNNNNNNNNNNNNNNNNNNNNNNNNNNNNNNNNNNNNNNNNNNNNNNNNNNNNNNNNNNNNNNNNNNNNNNNNNNNNNNNNNNNNNNNNNNNNNNNNNNNNNNNNNNNNNNNNNNNNNNNNNNNNNNNNNNNNNNNNNNNNNNNNNNNNNNNNNNNNNNNNNNNNNNNNNNNNNNNNNNNNNNNNNNNNNNNNNNNNNNNNNNNNNNNNNNNNNNNNNNNNNNNNNNNNNNNNNNNNNNNNNNNNNAACGUAUGAAUUGGAUAAGGGCCAUAAGGCUAAUAAUUCUGACUAUAUAUCUUAAAAAGAAACAAAAUGUUGGAAACUAUAACACAAUGUUGAGCUGUAAACAUAUGCAUAUUCAGUUCGAGUGCAUACUUACAAAGUUUACAUGUGUAUAAAUAAAGAGAGAAAGAUAUAUGACCACAUACAGCGUGGACUAGGACCCGGUCGAUGUUGUGUAUUAAAUGUGUUUUCUAUAUAUCAUUCUUAGUCAAACCAUAUAAAUUUUGAUUUUGGUGUACUUAUUGGGGUAGAUCUUUGGAGAACAUCUGAAACGUAAAUGGUCGGUCUGCGUAGACCGAACCCCACAUAUAUACGGUAAGUAAAAUCUCUGGUCGUCGUGGCAGCUCAUUAGAUCCGUACGCCAUAAUAUAAUGNNNNNNNNNNNNNNNNNNNNNNNNNNNNNNNNNNNNNNNNNNNNNNNNNNNNNNNNNNNNNNNNNNNNNNNNNNNNNNNNNNNNNNNNNNNNNNNNNNNNACCGACGUGGCCACGUCUGAAUCCUAAUGCUCGAUCCGUUUGGUUUAUCAUGAGGUUGAAAAGAAACUCUAUACAUAUAUAUGUAUGUGUGUUUGUGUGUGUGUGUAUGAAUGAAUGAGGAGAGAAAAAUGAAAAGAUAUACACAAUCUUAAACAACUGAAGAGAUGAUUAAACUUAACGUACACACGCGUGAAAUAAAAAUUGAAUGUUUUGGUUGGUGUCUAGCGUUGCCGAGAAGUAAAUUGUGUGGGCUUUGAUCAUCUUCGUAAGUGGUAGAUAUAACUAACUCAUAUUUCUGAAAAAUGAUAUAAAGAAGAAAAAAUUAAUAGAUGUUUGGUUUAGUUUUAGGAACAUUGAUAUCGUUAAACUAAAUUUGCUUUUGUCUUUGACGUUUGUGGUUCCUGAAUAUUUUAACAUGUGAUUAAGGUUUAUUUGUGAAAAAAUACUCAUGAUACUAUACGACGGCGAUAGUUCUUUCAUCCUUAAAAAAGUAAUCAUCUUUUAGCUCUUGCGUUCGACUUUGAAAUACCCGGUUGUAUUAUUUUCCUUCGAUCCAAUUUAUCAAAUGUUUUAUUUAUUUAUUAUUAGAUGCGUGUAAAAUUUCAAUGUAUUUAUUUUACGUAUUUGGUUAUACUGUUUUAAAUUAAAAUAUCACAUACUAAAUAACAUACAUGUUUUUAUUUUUAUUUUUUUAUCGGAUGUCCCCGAAGGGACACAUACAUGUUUUUAUCUAAAUUAGAUCUUAUAAAAUAGACAAAGGGAAUAAAUUUACACAAAAAGAUAGAUACAAGAAUAAAUUUAUACGACAAAAAUUUCUAUGUUGGGAGUAUUUUUGUAUUAUUAUUAGUUUUUUUUGUCAAUUUAUUGUAGAACUAAAUAAAAAAAAAAAAAAUCAUUAUCUGCAACAUUUAUUUUGUCAACAUUUAUUUAACUUUUUUUUUUUUUAAUGUUGGUAUUGAAAGAACCCGGUUUAAAUUAAUUUCGGUCAGAUUCGUUAAACCCAAUGGGAAAUCCCGAAAACUCACAACAAUGGUGGCGAAGAAUCAAAUCGAUGACUGUGUUGUCAUGUUUGAUUAAUGGAAGCUAAACUUCUCCAUCGCCUCAUCAAUGAUCCUCCAAGUCUCUCCGUUGGCCUCAUCGAAACACAGUGUUAGAGGUUAAAUCUUGGUUAACUUUGGUUAAUAGAAAUUAGAAUUGAUUUCCGGUUUAAUGUCGUAACCAAGCUCAUAUAAAGCUUGAGUAUACGUUACUUUACUGUUUAAGCUUUGUAACAAACAUUUAUACGAUUGUUAAGCUGUUCUUCUCUCCUCCGUCGUUUUCUCUCUUUUCCGGUUAAUCAGUACAUUCAAUACACAGAAUCUUCCACCGUCUUCUUCUCCUUCGGUGGAUAGAGAAGCGACUGGAAUUAUAAGAAUCAGAAUCAGUAGGCUUGAGAGAGUGAGAGAGUGAGAGAGUGAAAAAAAACCCAUACUACCUCUAUGGAGAUUGUUUGCGCGUUCAAGACUGAUUGCUGCAUUUUGUAAGUUUUUGCCUUCUGAGUUCUGAGAUAUGCUUUUGGAGAAUUUGGUUACUGGCUUGAGCUUUUACUCUCAUGUAAAAGAAAAAUUGGUAACAUAAUGUUUCUUUCUCUCUUAGAGUCAGGGGAAGCAACUGAUCUUUUAAGUAAGGUUUAAUUACAUAGCUCAUUAUGUUGAUGGCUCAGAGAGGUUCUCAAUAAUAUUAGGGAAAAGAUUGUUUUUUUUUUUUAGUGGUGCCGAGCAUGGUCUUGUGUGUUUCUGUACUUUGAUUCUUCGUGGUGCCGAGUAUGGUUUUACUUUGUUGAUGCUUUUAUCAAUUAAAUCAGGAAGUCCUUGCUUUGUUGUUCAUAAUUCUAUUAAAACCUGAAGCACUUGAAGGAAGAAGCUUUACUGAUAUUCCAAAGCAGCUACUCCCACCAGAAUUUUGCUAUAAGUAGAUGAAAAGGUACUAAUUCAACUACUCUUAACAAUACUUUCUGUUUAUAUAAACUCACUUCUUAUGAGUGUUAGUGUCAUUUAUUCAUCACAUGUUCAUACCACAAGUCUUAUGAAAAAGCAUAUAUAUACUUAGGAUACUUCACAAAAAAACACAAAACAUAGGCCAAUAAUCACUUCAUGACAUCACAAUCUUUACAUAUACUCACAUACACGUCUUAGAAGCUUCUUUGCUGAUUCUAACCUGUUCCAUCGUCUCCACCACUGCCUCCCCCGUUGCCACCCCAAUUGUCAUAGUUUUGUCUUGGAAUGUUAUGAUGGUUGUCUACUCCUCUUGUUAAUGGAAUGACAGAUUUGUCCUUCUGGACAUGGUGAAGCCUCUGAUCUUUUGUGUUUAUCCCUCUCCCUCCACCCUCCACAAUGAAAGAGCUCAUAACCACCAUUAUUACCACCACCAUCACCAACACUUGCCUUCUCUGAAUUUUCAUUUCUGUUUUAGUUUUGGUUCUUCCAAUGCCUUGUCCUUUUUAUAGAAGAAGUUAGGUUUAGGUAUGCGAAUUCUUUCAACUGUUUUCUGUGUGUUCCACUAGGAAAAGACAAAAUAAAAGAUUGAAUUAUUAGCCUUUCAUUGAUGUGUUUGUUUGUUAUUGUUUUGUGACUUGUGACGAUUGAUACAAUAAUCAAAAGAAUUAUAAUCAUUCGUUCAAAUAGGAAAGUUCCACCGUUAAAGUGGUGAAGAAGACACAAGAAUCAAUGAGAAGAAUUGGUUAGUUGCCCGAAUAGGAAACUUCCACCAUUUUUUUAUAGUGGAUCACCUUCUAUUCAUACAUUCAUAUUUGUCUGUGUACUUAAAAGUCAAUGGGAUGGUAACAACUUACAAAAAGUAAAAUUUUCAAACAAUUUGCAUGAUGUUAAUUCCAUGAUUUCUUUGUUCUUUCUAAUAGCAUGCGAUGAUGGCCGAACAAGUUGAUGACAAGUGUCUCUCCCACAGAAUUAUCUACACCCACAAAACAACCAUCUGAAUCAUUGUCCUACUGAUAGGUUCAGGAUUUGCUAUGCUAAAUGAUCAUUUACAAAUAACUUACUCUGCUAUUAACAUCAAAAGAGCCAAAUCAUUUAGAGAAAGCAACCAUCAUGCAUUGAGUGUGUUUUGUGGGCUGCUAAUUGCUCACAGGGCUUGAAUAAUAUUUUUGAAACGGCUUAGUUAAGCCCCAUGAGGAAAUUUGAAAUGGAAUGAAAUGUAUAUCUCAACUCCUUAAUUUGAGGAUAACCCUGUUAGUUUCUUCGUCUAUCUCAAUACUUUGUAUGCAUAGUUUGCAGAGCUUUUUAUGGCUAUGUUGAUAUUUAAGUUGAUAAUAAUUCAUCAGUUACAAGUCAUCUAAUUCUACUGCUGUGACACUCUUUUGACUUCAUCUUCUUCUUAGCACAUUGCAUCACAUGCCUUGAGCUCAAGUUUCACAAUGUCUACACUAUAAGGACUUUGACUCAUCUUUAUGUGUUUCCUCCUUUGAUCUUUGCAUUCAGUGCCUUCCUCAAAGUCAAUGAUCUUUGGUCUGACAUGGUUAAUAACGAUGAUGUUGAUGAUGUUGCAGGGAUGUAGAAGCUGCGUUGAAAGUGAAAGGCGGGGUUUGUUAGAGCUGAAGGCCUAUAUGAUCUCGGUCAUUAUUGAUCCAUGUUUAGACAUUCAUCGAGGAUGGAUGAGUAGUGAUCGUUCUUGUUGCCCUUGGAGAACGUGUGAUUGGAAUCUCCCUAUCCUUAGAAUCCAUACAUUCCCAUGAUCCUCUUCCUCUACUGAAGAACCUAAAUGUUUUCCAUCCCUUUGAAGAGCUUCAGAGUCUCAACUUUUCGUCAGGAUACUGCAAAGGCUGGUUCGACGAAAGAAUAGGUCUGUUUACUCACGUUUUCAUUUUUGUUAGUAUUUCUAAGUCCUCUUACAAUGUAAAAUUCUUUUCUGCUUCUAGGUGGUGAGGGCCAGGGAAGUUUCAGGAAAUCUUGAGACUCUGGAUCUCGGUAACAACUCUUAUGGUAGCAGACUAGCAGUGUCUUGCCAUACUUGAAGGAGGCUGUGUCGCUCAAGACUUUGAUUCUCCAAACUCCAUGACAACUUAUUUGACGGUGGCUUUCCUGUUUAAAGUUGGUACUCCUGAAAUUAUUAAUACUCACAUAACAAAAGCUGUAGUCAAUACAAUUUUAUGUGUACUCUCUGCAAAAGUUUAAAUGAAUGUAGAAACAAUCAGAGACUGAAUUGGAGAAUGAAUUGGUGUAUGAUUGUUAAAUUAAAAUAACUAAUGAAAAUAAGAAUAAAAGAACAUUGAGAGAAGAAUAUAGCUACUGCCUCCCAAAAUGAAGCAUGGGGGAGACUUAAAGAGUUGGUUGGAAAAUGGAAUGUUGUAUGAUCAAAUUUAAAUUAAAAUACCAUUUACUUUAGACCCUUUAAAAUCACCGAACCUCUUUAUAGACCUUUCUUGAGUCCAGUGAUUAUCUAUUACAAGUUGUCCUGUUAUCCUUACCAAAAUCCAAACUAAAAUGUUUCACUAUUUCUAGUUCAAAUCUUAACUAUACAAUAAAAUUAGCUUAUGGUAUUCAUUAGUCAUGACUCAUGUUAUAUUGAUUUCUUAUACAAAAAAAUAGAGCUUCAAAUAUUUUGGCACUGAAUACUGAAAGAGUGAUAUAAAAAUGGAAAAAGAAUGACAGCUUGUAACUGUGGAAAGACACAUGGGAAAGUCAAAUCAAAUAAUAGUGGCAGUGGUUGUGUGAGAAGGUAUGGCUUCCUCCUCAAUCCUCAUCUGUAUGCCUCUCUAAUUUUAUUUUUCUUCCAAAAUAAUAAAAAGUCACAAUAGCAAGGUUUUAGAUUUUUUUUAGGAAAUUGAAUGAUCCGAGUAUGAUAAAGAAGAACAUUACACAUAUACUCCAACUUCAUCCUAUUCAAUGAUGAUGUAAGCAAUAUAUUCAUCACUACGACAUCAAUGCUAUGAUUUGUAUCUCAAAAUACAAUUUCAUGUUCGUAUGUAAUAUAGUGUUUCAUAUCUUUGUUAUGUUAAACGUUUAUCAAACUAAAGGUUAAACCGAAAGGGCAGAUAAAAUUCAUUUCUUUUAUCAAAAUCAUUCUAGUGUAUUCUUGAACCCAAAAUCAUUCAUCCUCAUUACUCGAAGGAGUUUAUUCGUAAGAAUUAUGAGUGAGACUCUAGAAAGACAAAACAUCAUAAUAGCCUCAAGCACGUUCCCACAAUAAAUUUCAUGCAGAAGGAGCCAGCCUAGUUUAUAGAAUGGCCCUCAUUCUUAUCUCGAACCAGCUCUUGAACCGUCCCGGGUCUAGUGAUACAUCAGUUCUGUCUGGUCCAAAGGCUUCUUUGCAAUAGAUUCUAAAUUUUAUAAUCAUCAAAAGUUAGGGAGGUAGAAAAUUAUAUUUAGUUUUAUAAAGAGUUUGAUGAUGAUAUGUGUAGUUUGUCUAGCUCAAAGAUUAAUUGAAUUUGUUCCAAAAUUAGAAUCAGACAUAAACCAAAAAAAACCUACUAUUGAUUUUUUGAGCUAAAACAUUAUUUUGUUCAACAUCAAACAAGCUUAAUUUUAGAUUUGGUCCUAGCUAGUUGACACCUAUUGGGGGAAAAAGAACAUACCAUAGGCUCAUCUGCAUAAGUGGAUGUGUAAGAAAGAAUGAUUGCUCUUCUCAUACUCAGCUAUAUUUGGGGGGAUGAAUCUGAAAUCGUAAUGAAUAUAGUUUCUCUCUGCUCUGUUCUGUUCUGCUUCCCAAUCAUAUUGGACCCUGCAAAAACUGACACUUCUUCUUUAUCAGACUCUACACUUGCAAUCCAUGCAUUAUAAACCCUUUUCACCCAACCCCUAGAGAUUACCAAAACCCAAAAACAAAAACAAAAAAACAGACCUAUGUAGAUAGAUUACUAUCACAUAUACAUUCACAUAACCAUUAAAUCAAUCUUCACAUGCAGAGAUCUCCCUAGGGAUUAUAUCUUAUCAAAUGAACUUUGGAUUUGUACAGAUAAUCUAAGGCUAAUUCAAGAAGUUCACUUCAACUAGAGACUUGAUCUUCAAGAACUCACCAAAAAGAUCGAGUAAAUUUUUCAAGCCAUGAAUCAUAAAAUCGAGAUCACACUUUAUCCAAGAAGAUUUAAAAACCCAUCACUCUUAUCUUUCUUAUGUGGUGGGGUCUUAUAAGCCUUAGUCCCCAUGAAAAUCAGUUACAAGUGAAGAAGAAGAAAAAAACAUUUCUUAAUAGCAAAUGUAAUAAUGCAAUGCAUGUUCGUACAAUUUCAGUUUUAUGAAGGAAAAUAACGGAACCGCACGAGUGAUGAAACCAAAUGGCCAAAACAAUUAUCAUGCAUGAUUUAAAAGCCCUCGUGAUGUAUCUUAUCAUAAUAUAUAUAAAAAAAUCUUGCCCAUAUCAUAUUCAGAAACACUACAUUUAAUAUCACCAUGGACCUAAGAUUCAUUUUUCUAUCUUAAGGGGAGAGCUAUGUGAAUCAUUCAUCUAUAUAUACACAUGUCCUUCACCGUCGUACUUCUCAUCACCAAAAAGCCAUCUCUAUCUCUCUUACUCGUCAUCUAUUUCUCCUUCUAUACUCAAAAUGAAGAACAAGUUCAUAAAGUCCUGCGAAAACAAACUCAAAACCAUGAAGAGUAAAUCCAUAGUCAUACCUUGUUGUACAUCUUCAUGUUCGAGUUGCUGCGAGAAGCUUUGUUGGGGAUUCAAGAAGGAAAAUGAAGUGAUACCAAAAGAUGUUCCGAGGGGGCAUUUGGUAGUGUAUGUUGGUGAUGAUUACAAGAGGUUUGUGAUAAAGAUGAGUUUGCUUACACAUCCCAUCUUUAAAGCAUUGCUUGAUCAAGCUCAAGAUGCUUAUGACUCAUCAAGACUAUGGAUCCCAUGUGAUGAGAACACUUUCCUAGACGUUGUUCGUUGCAGUGGCGCUCCUCAGCAUCAGAGAAACUGCAUUGGCAUGUAAUGUAAGAAGGGAGGAUUCAAAAGACCUAUUCAUUUGAUUUUGAUCCCAUCAUCAUCAUCAUCAUUCUCCUGAGAGAGUUAAUGUUGAUUAUUGAUUUAGAUAAUGUUGUACACUAAUUAAGUAAGAGUUUUCGUAAUAUAAGUAUCACCAUCGAUCGUAUUAUAAGCAAGUGUUCACUAAGCAUGUAGCAUUUUCGAAUGUUUCCAAUUAAACUGAAACAUUAAGACUCUGACAAAGAUCUGAAGAUAAAAAAUAGCAAAACUUCUAACAUAACCUGAUCAUGCCUGUCUCUAUUGUGUGUCAUAGAAAAAGACUUGAACUCUUGUCUGAUGCAGAUAUUGUCAGAGAAUAGAAACAAGGUUCAGUUUUCUAAGAGGAAAACUCACAUAAAAGGAUUCAUAAUGCUUAGACAGAAACGGCCAGGAACAAGUAGUACAGUACUACUACAGUUGAACUCAAAUGGCAACAUAAAACUAACAAAGUUCACAAACGAGUUUUUACACGUAAUUUUCAUAUCAUAUAUAUCUUACAAAGUGACACCAUUCACAUUACAAUCAAAAACUCAAUUCAAACAUAAGACAGUAAAGACCAACAAAAAUUUUAAAUCGAAACAGAAGAAAAGAAAACAGAACAGAACAGAGGAAUGCUCUCUUAGCAUAUCGGGAUCGGAGCUCCGUUCCAUUCCUUGAGACAAUCCAUCAACGGAUCAAUAAUUUUACCUUCACACAUUGCAGUGAAAACCUUAUCAAACUCCUCUCCCGGAGACACAACCUUUUCUCCGGUCAACAACUUCGUACCGAGCUCUUCCCUCACGAACUUAUACAAGGGAUACGACCUACACUCCUUGAUCCGGUUUGGAAUCGCUGCAUUUCCGCUACCGUAAGCCGCUCUGGUCGCUUCCACUUCCUUAGGAAGCACAGCCUUGAGUUCCUCCUCGAAAGCUCCAAUCUUUUGAAAGAUUGAAGUCCCUGCAUUCUUCUCUGUCUCACCGUUGGAAAGAGCGUGAUCAACAAUGACUUGUCUUAGCUUCUGCAUCAAAGGAUAAGUAGCGCUACAUGGAUCAUCGGCGUAUGUGAAGACCUGUUCACGAUCAACAACCUUAAGCAAGUCUUUCUCGCAGAACCGUGAUGGAUGAAGCUCACCAUUGACUCCAGUGGUCAACACUUUCUUAGCGACUUGAGAAACUGUGUUCUUCACAGUUUGUCUCAGAUUCUCCUCAAGAUGUCUCAAAUCCACAGCUUGACAUAUCCCCACAAGGAACGUUGUUGACAUAAGCUUGAGAAUGUCCACAGCUUCAGAGGUUUUACGAGACGAGAUCAAUCCAAGAGAGUUCACAUCUUGAUUAUGUUGUUCAGCUGAUUGAACAUGGCUUGUGACUGGAUUGGCCAAGUACUGAAGCUCAGAGCAGUAAGAAGCCAUAGCAAUCUCAGCUCCUUUGAAACCAUAAUCCAAACUCGGAUUACUCGAAGCUGUUAGAUUCGAAGGAAGUCCAUUGUUGUAGAAGUCGUUAACAAGCUCAGAGAAUUGAGCAAACAUAAGUUUCCCAAUCGCAGCAAUGGCCAAUCUCGUGUUAUCCAUAGAAACUCCGAUGGGCGUUCCCUGGAAGUUACCGCCGUGAAUGGCCUUGUUCCUCGAAACAUCGAUCAACGGAUUAUCGUUAACGGAGUUGAUUUCACGCUCAAUGGACUUGGUAGCUUGACGGAUUACUUCAAUCUGAGGUCCAAGCCAUUGAGGAGAUGUACGAAGAGCGUAACGAUCUUGUUUAGGCUUCUGCAAUGGAUCCAUCUCGUGAAGCUUUUGAGCUAAUUUCAUGUAUGAGCUCCCGUCGAGGAUGUGCUCCAUUAUCGCCGCCGCUUCGAUUUGGCCAGGGUGAUGCUUCAAUCGGUGAGUCAGAUGAUCGGUGAACUCAGGCUUCCCGCUCAUCACCUCCGCGAAGAUCGCCGAUAAAACCUCCGCUAACACCGCUUGAACAUUCGCUUCAAACAAAACCAUCGAGGCCAUGCCAGAUCCAACCGCCGUGCCAUUAACGAGAGCUAAACCUUCCUUAGGCUGCAGAUCGAAGAAUCCGGUACUGAUUCCGGCUUUCUCGAAAGCUUCUUUCGCGGUUAAGGACUCGCCGUCAGGACCGGUGGCUUUUGAGUUAGGACGUCCGGUGAGGAGUCCGGCGAUGUAGGAGAGAGGAACGAGAUCGCCGGAGGCGGUAAUGGUUCCACGGAGAGGAAGCGAAGGAGAGAUGUUGUGAUUGAGGAGACUCGUAAUCGCUUCGAGGAUCUCGAACCUGAUCCCUGAGUAUCCUUGGAGUAGAGUGUUGACUCGAACGAGCAUGGCGGCUCUCGUGGCGGAUUGCGGCAGCGUGUGACAUGCCUCCUUCGUGUUUCCGAAUAUUCCGGCGUUCAAAAAUCUGAAAAAAAAAAACAGAAAUCAACAAAAUUAAAAUUACAACCGACCCGAACCGAAUAAAACCCGACCCGAGUAACCGACCCGGCGUGUUUCCCAUGCAAUGUACUGAACUCGUGCGUAUAUUCAGUGACAAAUUAUACAAGAACAAAUUAAUCUCUGCCAAUUAUCCACUUAACCUACUAAUUUAAUAUUUCUCUCAUCACAAAUCCCAAAACAAUGUUUGAAAAAGAAUUAAUGUUUAAAUCACAUUCCUUAGUUACUUACUACUCAUAACGUAACGCUUAAUUAUGAAAUUAAUAAAAAUUUGUACCUAAUGAGUUCAGUUUGUAGUGCGGUGCCGUUUUUGGUUCUCCGGUGAGAAGUAGCACCAAAGCCAGUGGUGACACCGUAACUGUCAGUGCCUUUGUUCAUACUGUCCAUAACCCAAUCGCUGCUAGCUUUGACACCGGCUCUUGAAGACUCAGCUAGCUCAACCUUGACGUCCGCGCCUACGGUGGAGAUGGCAGCAACUUGUCCGAUCGUCAGUGUUUCACCUCCAAGAUUCACAACUGGUCUACGGUACUCAUCAACCAUCUUCUUGACUUCGUCUAGAUGGCUUCCUUUCAUUUGCUCCGCGGCUAAUCCCCAAUUCAACGGAUCCGAAACAGUCUUUGUCAUCACCGCCGCUUUGGCACUCUUCUGUCCUCCGUUGCAUAACAUAGCCUCAAUCUGAUCCAUUUGGUUUUUUCAAGAAGUUGAGUGUGUGUGAUCAGAUUAUAUCAGAUCUCUCUCGAUGAGUUUGUUUGGUGAAGGAGGAGAGCGAGAGAGGAUAUGAAUUGUUGGUGUGGGAGGUUUAGAGUUAAUCUGAGGAAGAAGAGAAGAGAGAAGAGUCGUUUAAAUAAGAAGGACAAUGUUAGUGUUGUUGUUAGGUAAGCAAAAGAGAAGAGAGUACACAAGAGUUGAUUUUCGUAAAUUAUAAUUAAAAGAAAAAAAGAAUGAAUUGAGGAGGGGUGGGUGAGAGAUUUAUGAUGACCGUUGGAUGAAGCUUAUAAAUCUAAUGGUGGAGAAUGGAGAACGUGAAUUUGGUUUGAGUCGCAAAAAGUGUUUUUCGUAUUCUUUUUUAUAAUACAAUUUAAAUUAAGAUAUUAACGCGUUUGGUAUGGUUAAAAAUUGUGCGUUCGUUCGAUCAACGUCAACCCUCAAAAGGGGUAGAAGAAAGGUAGUCGUGGCUGGUGGCUGAGGCAAAUAGCGUUUUGCGGUUGGUGAGACUUUUUACGAGUAAGUGUUGAGUGACUAUGGUCUAUGGUUUUGGGGAGUAGUUGUAUUAUCGUUGUGGAUUGUAAAAAAACACGUACACCUUGGGUCAAAUCCAAAAGUCGUCUCUACUUAUAUUUCAUUUCGUUCUAAAUAUAUACUAUAUAUAUUAUUUGAUAUACAAUAAAACAACGAACUACUUGAAGUCGAACCAAACCAGCAUGAACCUUUUUUUAAAAAAAAUAUAUCUUUCAUUAUGGGUUAGAGAACAGAGACUACACUUGGACAUUUGAUUUGGUAAGGAAGGUGCAUCCUUUUUAUUUUAUUUAAAAAUAUAUAUUUCUAAGUUUCAACACUAAACCAAACAUUUGACCUCAAAACAGAUAUAACUUAAUGAUAUUUACUAGAUUUGCACUAGGCGGAACGUUUGACUCCGGUUAAACAGAUGACUAUAUAUAUAUAUUAUACGUUUCCAAAUAUGAUUAUUUUUCAAGUGAUGAUGUGAGUUUUGUAAGUGUAAUUAAGUGAUAUUUCAUAAUACUUUUAGUACAUCAUAAUUAAUUUUAUAGAAGGAAUGAAAUAGGAAAAUAUAUAUACAUUUUUCUUAACCGAUACAUUUAAGGUUUAUAACCGAUACUAGCUUGGCUUUUCUAAUCUUGUAUUGAACAUACUACAUAUAGCUUGGUUUCGGAUAGCAUUUGGUUUAGUUUGUACUUAUUCGUAUAUUCCAUAACUCCUUUUUGAAACGAUUAUUCUUAGAUUUUAUUUUCUAACUUUUAACGGCUAAAUAUAUUGCAAAAGACAUUAUGACUUUUACAUAUAAAACUUUGACUUUGUGGUCAUUAGAGACACAAACUGUGAUGAAGAGUUAAUUAUAAUUCAUUAAUUGGAAUUGGUGGUAUCAAUUAUGUCGUCCUUAAUCACCAAUCAUGGAUACCCCAGUUUUUUCUAUGCUAGCUAUAGUACAGUAAGCUAGCAUAGAAAUCAAUGUACAAAUCAUGAUGAUGGUAUCAACUAUUCAAUGUGCUAACUUAAUAACCAUCUCAUUUACUCUUAUAUUUCAUCUCACUGUGAAAUAAACCAUUUCAAUCCAAAAGUAAAACCUUUUAAAAUCUCUUUGACAUUUUUGUGUUAGGUUUGGUAUGUAUAGUUUGCGAACGCCAGCGUCAUGCAACAUCAAAGAUAACAUGUUAUAUUAGCGUACGUGUCAAACAUCAUAGACUAGACAAGCUAAGCUGAUGCUAGUUUCAAAUUGCUUAGUUUUACCCCGGUUUGGUCAGAUCCUAACUUGUAAACUUUCUAUGGCCAUCUCACUAAGUGGCUCAGAGAAACACAUAGAGGUAUUGGAUUAGAGAUAUUUCUUUUUUGAAAAAAUGGAUUAGAGAUAUUUUGAAAAAAUGGAUUAGAGAUAUUCAAGUUUCUUUUAUAUAGUAAGCGUUAAUUUCCAAUAAUAAUGUGUCUUUUAAACUUUGAGCUACUUACAAGUACAACAUUAUACAGUAUAUUUUAAUGCUAUGUUUUAAAUUUAUGGGAAACACAAUAUAGACCCAUGAAUGUGGAGCUAAUUGAAGAAAACACACCGUUUGCAUGAGAUGGUAAAGACAUGACAUGUACGCAAUUACAUUCUUUUUGUUAUAAUGCUGUAUUUUAUUAAUUUUUAUAAAAAAUACUAAAACCAAAACAAUCAACUAACUAGCUGAGAACACAUUUAAAUGUUUUGUUGGUGAGAAACUUACGGUCUAAAUCGAAACACAUUAUAGAACUAUUACGUACAUAGAGCUAUCAACUAAUCGCAAGGAACAUGCAUGAGUAGUAUGAGUUGUUUCUAGUAAUUAUUUGAUUUUUGUAACUCUCAAAUGAAAAUGGUAGACGAGCAAACUGAUUAUAUAAUAUAUUAGGUCGAAUGAUUCCAUAUAUGUUUCAUAUAGUCGACAUAAUAUUAAUAACUUGAAAUCGUCCUCUUCCUAAAAAUAAUAAGAAAAAUCCUCUUCGAUCGUAAAAGUUUUAUUUUGCUAAUAUUUAAUCAUUAUAUAUAAGCAACCAAAAAAACACUUAUAAAAUGAAGAUCGGGCCACUUUGAUCAGAAAAAAUCGGUAUAUCUAAUUGUUGAGGGCUCGAUGGAUGGUGAUAUCGAACAACUCGUUAGUUAGCUUUGAUGAUAAUCUCUCUACAUAAAUAAUAAAAUAUAAAGCUAAUGUAAAUCAAAUGGACACGAUCGAAGAUAUAUAAUAAAGGGUCUACUAAUUAUGGCUGAAAGAGGUAGUGGGUUGGUAGAAUGGAUUGAUCCAAACACUUGCAUGUGUGCAUGCUCUUCACCACAUCUUUGUCUUCUUCACAUUUUUACUCUAUCUUUUUUAUGGGGUCCAAAGAGGCAAAUAUAUAUUGACAUGUUCGUAACUUUUUGUUUACCGGAGGAGGGCCUCAUUAUUUCAGUUGAAAUGUUUAUAUAAGAGUAUAGUUAUAAGCCAUAUGUAUCAGCAGACACAGUAUAAAGUAUAAAACCAAUCAACUACUAAUUUCCUAGAAUGGUCCGGUUGUAAGUUUUUUAUGUUCGGACAGUAGAGUUGGAGGAUGUUGUGGGUUGUACACGUACGUCCUAGAAUGGUCCGGUUGUAAGUUUUUUUUUUUUUUUUUUGAAUAAAGACGCUCUUCUACCAUAAAAAAUAAUAAAAAUCAACUACUAAUUUAAUUUCCUUUUGAAUAUCACCCAACCAUUUGAGUUUAAUAUAUAUUUUGACGAUUGUUUCUAAAAUUAGUUGAGUUUUUAACAUUGAUUAUAUAUUAUAAAAUUUAAUUAAAAAUGUAUAUUUGAAGAUAUAGUUUCAGUUAAUCCAUCUCUCCGCCAACUUCUUCGUAAUUAAGCGUCGUCGACCUAAAAUACAAAAAACAAAAUAUAAAUAUAUAUAAUGAAAACACAAAUUAAAAUAUAAAUGAUCUAAAAGAAAAUUACGUGAGGCUAUAUUUGCUUUCCUGUUUGCCCACUUUUAUGCCAGGAAACCAAACUGUUGGUUGUCUUUUGUAAACCAAACUCUUUCUAAGAUAUUUGCAUUUUAGCAAAAAAAAAGAAAAAAAAAAAAAAAAAAAAAAAAAAAAAAAAAAAAAGAGAGAAUUACGUGAGAUCCCCCCCUGUCCCUGUGUGUGUGGGUCACCAAAG
Molecule: long non-coding RNA, 15847 nt
Filed under: Capsella rubella
Lineage: Eukaryota; Viridiplantae; Streptophyta; Magnoliopsida; Brassicales; Brassicaceae
Description: long non-coding RNA (CRUB_LNC002803)
Source: RNAcentral